This 2434-nucleotide long non-coding RNA is filed under the name Homo sapiens (human). RNAcentral describes it as "RASSF8 antisense RNA 1". The record is from RNAcentral. Lineage: Eukaryota; Metazoa; Chordata; Mammalia; Primates; Hominidae.
AGUCCGCGGCUUGUGUGCCGCGAGGAGAGGCGCAAAGGGUGACACACCAGGAAAGGUAGCAGGCAAGAGUGUGGUUAUCGUUGGACCAGGAUUCAGGAUCUGACUGAGUAGCUGACUCUUAAUCCAGUUUGUGUUGAUCACCAGGAGGAUCUGGACCUCAGUAUUACCACAUCUAGAGCUAUAAUCACAUCCCUGUUAAGCCUUCCUGAGAUCACACCAAAUGUCCUUGAUGGGAAUUGUAAACAACCCUUACUUCUGGUUUCUAAUGAUAUUCCAGGAAAGGAGCCUAACUAGAGUCAGUGAUAUGCCAACUCCACCUUUGCCUUCCACCAUGUUUGGAAGCUCCCUGAGGCCUCACCAGGAGCAGAUGCUCGUCCCAUGCUUCCUAUAAGCCUGCAGAACUGUAGAAGGCCAUCCUAGGAAACAAUCCCAUGAGUGAUGUUUCAUGAAUUAUCUUCGUGAACCGGAGCAAGUCGCUUUGCCUUCCUGAACCUUCUCUGAGAUGGAAGGGUGAUCUGAAAAUAUGCCUCCCGGGUAAACCUCAGCCCUGGCUGGCAGAUCUGGCUGGCUAAUGGGACUCCCCUUUUCCUCUCCAUGGCUCCUGUGCCUCCCCCUCAAGACUGUGUGUAUUCCAAGAGGACUACAUUCCCAGGUGGGGUCGUAUUGUUCUUAUAAUGAAGGCUUACAGAAUUUCCUCGAAUGUUGCAUCUAGUUUUAGCGUUCUGAAUCUGUGAAUCACAAAUUAGAAUUGGUGCCUUUGGAAGAGGAGAUGGGACAUGAAGCCUGCUCCACCUUCUGAUAAUGCCCUAAAGAGCAGCUCAAAAUACAGCUAAAAGAACCCAGAAAACAAAAUAGGUAAGUCUUGAAGAGAGAUCAACAUUAGGAACACAAUAUUCACUGAAUAUAAUUCUGUGGUCUGUUUUAUACUUUAUUUUAUGCAUUCACUCCUAGUAUUUAAUUUAUGUAUCAAUUUCUGAGAAUUGGUUUCCAAAAAAGUCAUUAUCCAGUGAACUCUAUUAGUCACUAAAGCUUUAUAACAAAUAAAUUAACAAAACAUUGUUACCCUAAGAAGGAAUAGCCUCUUGUCACUUGUUGCCCCUUGGCUCUCAAAACUGGAAAGUCCACAUGCUUAUAGUGGUUAUGAUAGUUUAUCAAACUGAAGAAGAAGCCUGAACAACACUCCAGUGAUUCCAGACACAAGUAGAUAAUCUAUUCAGCCCCAUGUAGUUUCAGAGAGUAAACGAAGAUAAGGAAAUUUUUUUCUUCUCCUCAGGGCAGAGAUGUUUUUCAGUUCUUCUUCUUUUUUUUUUUUAAUCUUAGCACUUGAUAUUCCCUUGGGAAGUGUUGGUUACAACAAAACACUAUUUAUUAGAAUCCAAGUAUCUGAAAUUAAUCAAAGAUAGAUUAGCAUGCCAGUGUCCCCUUUCCUCUUUUGUUAUAAAAGAGCAAUAGUCAUUUUACUAUUGCUAAAUGUCAUUUACAUUUAGUCAUUUACUAAAAAUUAGUAAAAAAUUUCUUAAUAUAAGCAUAAAGUUACAAAGGCAAAGAGAAGAUGUACUGGAAGGUAAAUAGGCGUGGCAGAGGUUUGAAAGGCUGUUAGGCACUGGAUUAUAAUCCUUCUAGGGUAUGGACAACAUCUGGGUGUUAUUUUCUCUUUCAUAGUCAGUUCAGUACUCACUGUGCAUGAGAGGUGCUUGAGUGAGUCUUUGUUAGAUAAAUGAAAAGCAAAUUAAUCCACUUUUCAGAGCUCUCUUCGGAGACCUGAGCCUGAACAAGACAAUUCUCUAAAAGACAGAAUAUUUGGGAAUGAAAAAUAGGACAUUAGAAGAUGCUGUUUGUUACUUUUUAAAUCCCUUUUCAUCCUGGCUACGCUAACUCUACCCUCAAGGGCAGGAGAACAGAGGACCAGAGAUGGCUCCAGGCAAGUUGUGAGCUGUGUGGCAUCAGCAUCUGUCUAUAGUGGUGAUGCUGGUGCUGACAUGUGGUGGUUUAUUUAAUCUAUUUGGGCCCCAAUAUCUGCAUGUGUAAAAGGGAAUGAUGAUAAUGAGUAUUUUCCAAAAAAUAUGGUUGAAGGAUUAACUGUAUUUGAGAUAGAGUAGGCCUCAGUUCGUGUCAGCUAUUAGCCUUAGUCUGUCUACAGGAACCAGAAGUUUCAGGUUGGGAGAAGCCUGGCCUUUUAGUGAGAAGCUUUCUUGUGGUGGGACAAGAUGUUGGUGUGAGACCAGAAACUCAGCCUCUCAGGAGCAGAAAAAGAGGGGACUCGAUGUUCUGCUGGUGAUUCUGAGAUGAGUGUUAACAUCAGAUGUGGCUGUUAGUCCCCAGAAGGACAAAUAUAAAUGUUUCCUUCAUGCUCUUCUUUGUUUUUGUUUUUGGUUUUUGUUCCUUCUGCUGAUAAAUAUUCUUACUCAGAGGUUAUUACUGCAAAUAAUAAUAA